UGGAAAUUGGACCCGGGUGCGACCGCGGACUGAGGAGAAGGAGCUCCGGCGAGAGUAGCGGGUGGCGGUACGUCGGCAGGCUGCGUCCUUCGGGGGACCUGCAAAAAGCCGGUGGUCGGGGUUUCCGGCGCCGGCCCUCCGAUGCUUAAGUCAGAGAAGGGUUUAAUUUUGGAGAAGGAGAGGGACUGUAUAUAGAAGUCCGAAGCUCCCUUUUUAGAGGGAAAAGCUCCCCUUUUUAUAGGAGGGGUGCCAGGUUACCUGAGAUGUGACUGGGCGAAUUAAUGAAUUAUCGUCAUGAUUGGGUGUGGUCGUGCGCACUAAUGAGCUGGCGUGGGCAGCUGAACAAGACGGAGUGGCGCAUUAAUGAGUUGCCGUGGAUGGCCUGAGACUUUGGGCUGGCUGGAGGUCCGUGGAGAUCGUGCUCAAUUUAAUUGUUGACAGUUGUAGCAGGAUAUGGUCCCUGGUUGGUAUGCCGUGGCGUGGCCGGCAAGCAAAGCAUGGUGCGGUGAGACUGCUGCAGGGCGUGGCCGCAGCAUGUGGACAUGAGCUCGGCCUGCAUGAGCUCGGUCUUCUGGGCUCGGCCUGAAUGAGCUCGGUUUGCAUGAGCUUGGCCUGCAUGAGCUCGGUCUUCUGAGAUUGGCUCGGCCUGCAUGAGCUCGGUCUUCUGGGCUCGGCCUGCAUGAGCUCGGCCUUCUGAGCUCGGACGUCGGAUUCGGGUGUUCUGAUUAUAUUUGUGGGGUGGUUUAUUUUUCUCUAACACUACCCCCGACUUUCGAGUUCGAGCUGCUUUUUGGCUCGAGCGAAUGAAGUAGUCUAGUCGUCGAUCAUCCUGUAAUAUAGCCAAAUGUCUAUU
RNAcentral lists this long non-coding RNA (853 nucleotides) under Phoenix dactylifera (date palm). RNAcentral describes it as "long non-coding RNA (PDAC_LNC017600)". The record is from RNAcentral. Lineage: Eukaryota; Viridiplantae; Streptophyta; Magnoliopsida; Arecales; Arecaceae.